Molecule: non-coding RNA, 89 nt
Filed under: human gut metagenome
Description: Glycine riboswitch
Rfam family: Glycine riboswitch aptamer
About the family: This family represents the bacterial glycine riboswitch. Glycine riboswitches usually consist of two metabolite-binding aptamers domains with similar structures in tandem. The aptamers cooperatively bind glycine to regulate the expression of downstream genes.
Source: RNAcentral
CACUCUGGAGAGUCCCUGUUUUUUCAGGGCGCCGAAGGUGUACGGUAGUAAUAAGGACUGCCAAUCUCUCAGGCAAAAGGACAGAGCAU